This 358-nucleotide ribosomal RNA is filed under the name uncultured Flavobacteriaceae bacterium. RNAcentral's name for it is "bacterial SSU rRNA". It matches the Rfam family "Bacterial small subunit ribosomal RNA", at positions 111 to 467 of the family's 1533-position model. The record is from RNAcentral. Lineage: Bacteria; Pseudomonadati; Bacteroidota; Flavobacteriia; Flavobacteriales; Flavobacteriaceae.
UAACGCGUAUGCAACCUACCUUCUACAAGAGGAUAGCCCAGAGAAAUUUGGAUUAAUACUCUAUACGAUCAUUAAUUGGCAUCAAUUUAUGAAGAAAACUCCGGUGGUAGAAGAUGGGCAUGCGUCCUAUUAGUUAGUUGGUAAGGUAAUGGCUUACCAAGACUUCGAUAGGUAGGGGUCCUGAGAGGGAGAUCCCCCACACUGGUACUGAGACACGGACCAGACUCCUACGGGAGGCAGCAGUGAGGAAUAUUGGACAAUGGAGGCAACUCUGAUCCAGCCAUGCCGCGUGCAGGAAGACGGCCCUACGGGUUGUAAACUGCUUUUAUACAGGAAGAAUUAUGCCUACGUGUAGGUA